CCAACCCGAAUAAAGAGUAACUCCAGUUGUUAUGGAAACGCGUUGUUUCUGAUUUAGGGUUCAACACGUUCUUCAUCUCUCCCAUUCGAGAGCUAAUCUCGACCUAAGGUUUCCAUGGCGUUGUUUCAUCUUCUUCCUAACAAUCCGAUGAGCUAUCAGUUACAGAUUCAUCCUCUUAAAUCGACCACCCACGAUCUACCUGUUCUUUCAUCUUCUUCCUAACAAUCCGAAAAGCUAUACAGAUUCAUCCUCUUAAAUCCACCAUCCACGAUCCACCUUGAAUGCGAUCUUCACGCAAGGCCGUGGAACCUCGACUAUAAAAAGACCGGACGCGUACGGCACAGUAGGAGGAGGAAAGCGGUAGCGACGGAGGAGAGGAGGAUCAAGGCAAUGAGGGGCCAGCCGUGUCCGGUUUGAAUCCGGUUGUUAUUUGUUCAUUGUCUUCCCAUUUACAAGCGACUGGGUUCUAUGUUUUACUUAAAACUCUCGGGUUCACUUAAAACUUCAUUAUAUUCAGCUCCAUGUGCCUGUCAAGUUCUCUCUUUUGUUUAAGGCGGACCCCGCCGAAGGUGCAGAGAUGUAUAAGGUCAUCAAAGAGACUACUAAUCACCGCAGGGUGAAGUUCACAGAUUUAUAAUGUGGUCUGGUACGCUCUGUAGAAUUGUGUUGUCUCAGCUGUAGUUUAGCUGCUUGGUGGAGCUUCUUUGGGUGUGAUAAAGCUGUGAGAUCUAGAAGAAACAAAGAGUUAGUUGAUAAAUUUUGUGCGCUCCUUUUGAAGAGUUGUUGCUCCUUAUUGUCAAAUGUGGAUUAUGGUGCGUUGGUUAAAGCUUUUGUUGUAAGCUUGCAAACCGCUAUUGCAACUAAACUAUAGAGGAUAUAAAAUAUGGCCAGGACGAGCAACAAAAUGUUAAGUUGGUGCAAUCCUUUCAAAGUUAAAAGUGGCUCAUAUCCAUUUAGACACGGUAACAUGGAGAGAGUAGCUUUUGAAGGAACACGGAUCAUGAUAACAGAAUUCAUGGUAACGUGAAUUUGUUGCACGAGAUCUCUAGGAGACUUUCAGCUAAGGCGAAAUUAAGCUCUUUAUAAGUUAUCUUCUUCUUGACAUGUUGCGUGAAUUAGACUCUUCAAUCAGUUCAAAUUUUCUUGAAUGCUUAAACCUCAAAGCAAAGCUCAAUAUAUACACCAUAGCCAAGAUAAGUCGCAAAUCAAUGCAAGGAGUGACUGGAGUCUAGGGAAUGCACAAUCAUGUGCUAUGUAGAGCUGUUCUAUCAACAAGAGACAAUGACCAUCAG
This is a long non-coding RNA of Brassica oleracea var. oleracea, 1292 nucleotides long. RefSeq lists it as uncharacterized. The transcript is spliced from 7 exons. NCBI's taxonomy places the organism in Eukaryota, Viridiplantae, Streptophyta, Magnoliopsida, Brassicales, Brassicaceae. The record is from RefSeq and is a predicted model, not a curated record.